Molecule: long non-coding RNA, 2742 nt
Filed under: Musa acuminata (dwarf banana)
Lineage: Eukaryota; Viridiplantae; Streptophyta; Magnoliopsida; Zingiberales; Musaceae
Description: long non-coding RNA (MACU_LNC000409)
Source: RNAcentral
GCGGGAGGAGGUAACCAUGGCGGCUGCCUGUCACCGAGCGAAGCAUCGAACGGGGCCGGGCAGAAUUGGCCGAGCUUUUUGAAGGUACCGAAGUAGAUUUAUUUCCGAUACCUAAACGAUUACCGGACGUCAGAACUCACGUCUUAGCGGCGCAUCACUUGUGGGUUCCACCAUGAUCGUGUGGUCCGAAUUAACUUGUACCCCACCGUGUUUCCUUGAGGUGUUCUCUCUGUUGUUUGUUAUCUCCACAGGUUUUCUCUUAUUUAUAUUCCUUCUCUUUUCCCCCGUUUCCUUUCCCUCCUCUCCUCUCCUCUCUCUUCUCUCUUCAUAAAUUAGCUAACAAAUAUUUGCAAUCGUCAUAAGCUCUAAAAAUUAAUUGGAUAUUGUGAUGAAAAAGUAGCUAACAAAUGGAUGAUUAUGGAAAAAAUUCAAGGUCAGUAUUACCAUUUGAUUGAGAUCACACGGUUUGAUCUUGUACUAAAAUAAUAAUAAUAAUAAUAAUAAUAUUUAAGUGAUUGAACCACACUCUUGGCAGAUUAAAGAAACAAUAAAUUUGGUUUCGGAUUCCAAAAACAACCUAUAAAAUAAUUUACCAAUGAUUCAUAUAGGGUGAUUGAGAUUGGAAGUUCAAGCACCUUCUUAGUACAAUGUCAUUGAAACUCUUUAAAGAUUCCAAAUAAAAUAAUAAAUAAUAAUAAUAAUCUUAACUAAAUUUGCCAAGUUUUCCUAGUUCCUCACCUUGGUCUUACCAGUCUUACCACAGUUAUACAUACUGAAUGACAACGCACGUUAAAAUGAGUAUUAUUUUCCGAAAGAAUAAUCACCGUUCUUUUUUCUCAUCUUAUCCUCUAUAGAACAAUGGUACACAAUGAAGAUUUAGGUUUUGUUGACAUCUCUUAUCAUCGACACAAGCUCAAGCUCAAUGCUGAUUGUUGCAUCAACACAUCCACGGACAAUUUAAGCUAGCAGUUAUGCAUUGCACAUCAUUGAACAUCAUCUCUAAAGACAAUUUUCAAGACGGAAGUGGAAAACGAAAUUGUUAUAGUGCACAAUUUUACGAUGGUCAAGAUUUAACUUAAGAUUAAUUUUUCUGCUUAUAAACAAAUGCACAAAGGUUUAUACAUGAUACUUGUCUAAGUAAAAAAUUUUCAAAUACACAAACGUAAUUGUCUAAUUUUUCUCCUGCUGCUCCCGGUAACAAUAUUUUGGUCGAAGCCGAGCUAAUGCUUCCGUGUGAGCCACUGGAAUGUACCUGGUAGAGAAGAUUUCCUCCCAUACUUGCUGGACUUCUACAAGGAGGAGAAAAUAAAAGCAAAAUUAGCAGUUUAUCGGCAAUCAUUAGUUACCACCAGAUACUAAAUUCUUAUUUUGGAAAUAUAGUUCCAAUUCAAAGUGAUCCUCGAAUCCAAGGCAAUGGGUCCAAACAAGAAGACAGUUCAGAGUCACCAAUGUGGCUCAAGGCAAAACGAUUAAUGCAUCAUUUCAUGUUGCUCAAAUGGUCAACUCAUUUUUUUUUCUUAGUUUUAAUUCUUUCAGUCUUCCUUAGAGCCAUUGAGACUAUAAAGGCGUGUAAAGGUCUAGCAUAAGCUACUUCAUCUUACGAGAAACAUAAUAUGAGAAAUGGUGGACGCCUGGUUCUGCCCUCUCCAAAUGCAGGUUGGUUGGCACAUAAAGUAGCACAAGCAGGUGAACACAAAGCUUCAGAAGCUAAGAUAAGAAGCCAUGGCAGAUAUCUUGAACAAUGCCAAAAGAACAUUUGGCUUGUCGAGGCAAAGCACUCUUACUUUUUUUAUCCAUGUCGGUGGAAUUAACUCCACUUUGAUCAAUAUGCAGAUAGAGACUGUCCAUUGGAAGCAUGUUAGUUUACAAAAAAAAAAAGACGAGAAGAUUUUUUACACUGAAUUUGGGUGGCAAUAGACCAAGACAAACUUCGUGAAACAAAUCAAUGAAUCAAGGAAACAUUCUCUAAUGCACUUUGUUGCUAUAUCAGAGGAAACAGAUUAACAUUCAAUGCCGUGAAUCAAUAUAUUAACUCAACAGAUCAUGCACUUCCGGCUAUUCAAAACCUGGAAGAAUUUGUUUGGAGUAUCUUAUUGUAUUUAAUGUUUUCUUUUUUCUAUGCUCACCCUUUCUCUUUUAUUAUAAAACUUUUAUCAUUUCAUUCUCUCGCUAUAAUCUUCAUGGCUCCUUUUUCCUUCUAAAGAAGAGUAAAAGAUUAAAUUCUCCCAUGAUUGCUGCAGGUGGAGGUGGGGGGAGAGAAAAAAAUGGUCUGGAAGGCAAGAAUACAUUAUCAUUUGAAUCAUCUUGAUGUGAACAGAAACCUCUCAUGGUUUUUUCCCUUUGAAGUGGUAAACAUAAAGAAGAGAAAAUGAAGUUUAGGAAAGGCAGAUAGUGGAGACCAGCUUCUUGAGUGGGAGGACAGCACAUUCUUGGAAGUCAAGGCAGAGUUAAUUUAACUUCUGAAGGCUCAGAUUAACGAGUUCAGACACUUUCUCUGUCAAGCAGCAGAAGGAAUUCAUCUUCAACAGAGGGUGGAAGUAAAAGAUUUAUGAUUAUAAUUGUUGAUGACAUUAUUACCAAUAUGUUGAGAUUUUUUAUGAUAUAUAAGUGGUAGAUGCAACCAUAUGCGGCAGAGAUACACCGCAGCCAUUGAACAUUCAGAGCUGGUAUUGCCAAUUUCUAUGGUAAAAUACACAUUCCGACCCUACUACACAGCUAAGGAACCAGCCAGAAAUCUUUUUG